AUAAUAAUCAGGGAACAGGCGGCCGGUAUUCUUCCGGUGCAGCCGGGCGAAGCAGCAGUGGGUAGUAACCUGCGAGACCUUA
This 82-nucleotide non-coding RNA is filed under the name unclassified sequences. RNAcentral's name for it is "NiCo sequence". It matches the Rfam family "NiCo (Nickel/Cobalt) riboswitch aptamer". The record is from RNAcentral.